UAUCCUCUUUGAUUUUAUUAUUUAUUUUUACCCCUAUUUUAAAAAGCUGUAAAGCGCAGAUAAAGGAAUGUGUUGCAGGUCCCUUAGUUGCGCAAUGACUGGAGGAGAAAAAGAAUUCAUUUGCAUCUGGCUGGUGGUGUGCUGGCUGCCGAUAGAGCAGUGCCUGUUGGGUGCAGAUAGGGCUAUCUGAUUGUGCGAGCACCUCUUCCCUCAAAGGAUUGCUCAGGAGAGAAUGGAAUGAAAGAUCAAGGAUGACAGCGAAAAAAUGCCAUUUUAUCUGAAAAUAGUUCAAAGUUGAUAAAUAAAAAAAGCUUCUCCGGGGCUGGGGAACUGUGAUAAAAAACAACUACAUUUCUUUGCUUCUUUUAAUUUAUUUAUUUAUUUUAAUUUACAGAGACAUUCGUGUGGUUUAUAAUAAACCUGGGAGCAAAGAUUAUAGAGAAGACUGGUUAAAAACAUAAUCAAGACACUGGAUUAAUGACUGCUCUUGUAUUGGGUAUUUUUUUAAAGCUGCAGUGUACUAUAAUCUUUUCUAGUGCUACAUUACUACAUUCCUAGUUUUGCCUUGAAUUUUACUAUAAGAAAGCAGACUUUUUUGACUUCCCGGUUUGUUUACAUCCUCCCAUUGAGAUUUGAUCACAAUUAUUCAAGAUGAAGAGAAACCACUUGUUACUGUAUACGAUUAAAGGUUUAUCCAGUGGUGCAGAAGAGGAAUGCUACUUUAUCAAUGCUGUACAGUAUGCAACCGAGAUACUGGUGAAGGCUUCGUACAGACAUCCCACUCGAGAGUUUGAUAUAACUGCUCAUGCUAUUGUGAUAAAACUUGAUCAGGGCCUUCUUUAGCACUACUUAUUGAGUGUAUCAAAAUCUGGAUAUACAAAGAGGUGGCUGUCAGUUACACGCAUGUUAUUGAUUUAAGUCAUGUUCAUCUACUUUUAAUGAGAACUCCAUUUUGUAUCUGUAACAGUUUGUUACAUACUUAUUGUUAUGUAUUAGUAUAGUAUUGUAUUAGUACUAGUAGUAGUACUAUUAUGAUGGUUAGUAUUCAUUGUAGGUCAGCUACCAGUGGGGCAGUGUGAUGGACCUGUUCACCACCAGCCUGUCUCUAGCCGGACUGCAGCCUUCAACUGACAGGGAACUUGAUGGCCUGGACCUGAUCCUCGUCCUUCUGGAGAACUGCAUCAUUGACCGUGUCAGCAGUGCUGAGUACUAGGUUGAGUUGAAGCAGAUCUCCCCAGUGGUGGAGAAGCACAGGAAGGAGCUGGUUCCAGGAAUGCCACAGCUCAACAGCCAUGAACUGGAAUCCUGUGGGCUGUAAGAACCUGGGAAAGUGUCUCAGAGGUCCAGAGGCCAGUCCCAGGAAGUGUGAGUGGCCACACUGAUAAUCAGCUGUCAGCACGCUGGACUCUCACAGUGGUUUCUGCACUGCCAAUGUCUUCUCUUCAAUUUCAUUAGUCUUGGAAGUAUCUGUAUGUCUUGGGAACAGUUCUUUUGAAUAUGAUGAAACCUUUCAUUUGUUUUUUUUAAAAAAGUUAUUCUGCUUUAUGCAUAUAAUGCUGUAAACCAGCUUGUAAAAUAAUGGUAGAAACAAAGUUUAUACACAGGGGCAAAUUGAGAAUUUUGUUUCGUUAUAUUUAUGAACCAAGGUGUAUAACAUUUUGCCUGUAAAAGCUAUGAUCUUCAGGAAUUUCUACCGGGUGUACUGUAAGCAAUUUUUUUUUUCUUAUGUACAAUACUAGAAUGACAACUGAAGUUUUUAAUUUUUGAUUUGUAUAUAUCAUAUAUUUUUUAUAGUUGUAUAAUUAUUGUAUCAAUUUCAAACAUAAAAAAGCUGUAGGUUGUCCUUGUCCAGUGAUCAUUGACAUUUGGUAAAUUACUGUUUCAUAUUUUAAUAAAUAAAUAAAUAAAUAAUAAAUAAAAAAAAAUUAUAUAAUAAUAAUA
Long non-coding RNA from Polyodon spathula (Mississippi paddlefish), 1941 nucleotides. RefSeq lists it as uncharacterized. The transcript is spliced from 3 exons. NCBI's taxonomy places the organism in Eukaryota, Metazoa, Chordata, Actinopteri, Acipenseriformes, Polyodontidae. The record is from RefSeq and is a predicted model, not a curated record.